UACGUAGGGGGCAAGCGUUGUCCGGAUUUAUUGGGCGUAAAGAGCGUGUAGGCGGCUAGGCAGGUCCGUUGUGAAAACUCGAGGCUCAACCUCGAGACGCCGGUGGAAACCAUCUAGCUAGAGUCCGGAAGAGGAGAGUGGAAUUCCUGGUGUAGCGGUGUAAUGCGCAGAUAUCAGGAAGAACACCCGUGGCGAAGGCGGCUCUCUGGGACGUGACUGACGCUGAGACGCGAAAGCGUGGGGAGCGAACAGG
RNAcentral lists this ribosomal RNA (253 nucleotides) under uncultured bacterium. RNAcentral describes it as "partial 16S ribosomal RNA". It matches the Rfam family "Bacterial small subunit ribosomal RNA", at positions 524 to 776 of the family's 1533-position model. The record is from RNAcentral.